Molecule: microRNA precursor, 60 nt
Organism: Oncorhynchus mykiss (rainbow trout)
Lineage: Eukaryota; Metazoa; Chordata; Actinopteri; Salmoniformes; Salmonidae
Source: Ensembl
UUAAGACUUGUAGUGAUGUUUAGGGAAAUUAUCACAUGAACAUCACUUUAAGUCUCUGCU